GGCCAAUAGAGCGUGUGGAUGUUCCACAACAGUCUAAUCAAGGCGAUUGUGGCAUGUUCGUGUUGAAGUACAUUGAGCUUUUGAGCGCUGAGAUUCCGUUAGCUACUUGCACCUCGCAGAACAUGCCCUUUUUUCGGUUGAAAUUGGCUGCAGAGAUAACACGGGGAGAUGCUUACAUGCCAUGAUAUGGGUUGAACUUGGUUUAGGUACAUGAUGAUUAAAUAGGUUUUGGGAAUGUCCAAUUUCAAACUCAUGUAAAUACACAAUAGAGACCUACGGGUCCUUUUCGAAUUCUACCUCUGCUCCUCUAUUCUUCUUCGUCUUUCUCAAUCUUAGUGUAUUUUUGUACA
Long non-coding RNA from Prunus persica (peach), 350 nucleotides. RefSeq lists it as uncharacterized. The transcript has 2 exons. The record is from RefSeq and is a predicted model, not a curated record. NCBI's taxonomy places the organism in Eukaryota, Viridiplantae, Streptophyta, Magnoliopsida, Rosales, Rosaceae.